GAACGCUGGCGGCGUGCNUAGAGACAUGCAAGUCGUGGGAGAAAGUCGUAGCAAUACGGCAAGUAAACCGGCGCACGGGUGAGUAACACGUGGAUAACCUGCCUCAGAGUCUGGGAUAACCCGUCGAAAGACGAGCUAAUACCGGAUAAGACCACGGGAAGUUCGCUUCCUGAGGUAAAAGAUGGCCUCUGCUCCUGCAAGCUAUCACUUUGAGAGGGAUCCGCGUCCUAUCAGCUAGUUGGCGAGGUAACGGCUCACCAAGGCUAAGACGGGUAGCUGGUCUGAGAGGAUGGUCAGCCACACUGGGACUGAGACACGGCCCAGAGUCCUACGGGAUGCAGCAGUCAGGAAUAUUGCGCAAUGGAGGAAACUCUGACGCAGCGACGCCGCGUGGGUGAUGAAGGCCUUCGGGUCGUAAAGCCCUGUCGGAGGGGAAGAAAAGUCUGUUGGCUAAUAUCCAGCGGACCUUUGACGGUACCCUCAAAGGAAGCACCGGCUAACUCCGUGCCAGCAGCCGCGGUAAUUCAGCCGAAUUCUAGCACAC
This 544-nucleotide ribosomal RNA is filed under the name uncultured bacterium. Its description in RNAcentral is "bacterial SSU rRNA". It matches the Rfam family "Bacterial small subunit ribosomal RNA", at positions 35 to 539 of the family's 1533-position model. The record is from RNAcentral.